This is a non-coding RNA of Candidatus Gottesmanbacteria bacterium RBG_16_38_7b, 89 nucleotides long. The record is from Rfam. Lineage: Bacteria; Candidatus Gottesmaniibacteriota.
GGAGAGGUGCAGGGAAUGGUUAUCCGGACAGUCUCGAAAACUGUUUCCCGAUUAAAUCGGGAUUGUGGGUUCGAGUCCCACCCUCUCCG